CUUUAAACUCUUAAUUUAAAAAGAAGUAGUUAAAUUCUACUAUUAAGGG
Molecule: transfer RNA, 49 nt
Filed under: Diadema setosum
Lineage: Eukaryota; Metazoa; Echinodermata; Echinoidea; Diadematoida; Diadematidae
Description: partial tRNA-Lys
Source: RNAcentral